GCGAGUCUGAAUAGGGCGAAUGAGUAUUUGGUCGUAGACCCGAAACCAGGUGAUCUACCCUUGGUCAGGUUGAAGUUCAGGUAACACUGAAUGGAGGACCGAACCGACUUACGUUGAAAAGUGAGCGGAUGAACUGAGGGUAGCGGAGAAAUUCCAAUCGAACUUGGAGAUAGCUGGUUCUCUCCGAAAUAGCUUUAGGGCUAGCCUCAAGUGAUGAUUAUUGGAGGUAGAGCACUGUUUGGACGAGGGGCCCCUCUCGGGUUACCGAAUUCAGACAAACUCCGAAUGCCAAAUAAUUUAACUUGGGAGUCAGAAUGUGGGUGAUAAGGUCCAUAUUCGAAAGGGAAACAGCCCAGACCACCAGCUAAGGUCCCAAAAUAUAUGUUAAGUGGAAAAGGAUGUGGCGUUGCCCAGACAACUAGGAUGUUGGCUUAGAAGCAGCCAUCAUUUAAAGAGUGCGUAAUAGCUCACUAGUCGAGUGACACUGCGCCGAAAAUGUACCGGGGCUAAACAUAUUACCGAAGCUGUGGAUUGUCCUUUGGACAAUGGUAGGAGAGCGUUCUAAGGGCGUUGAAGCAUGAUCGCAAGGACAUGUGGAGCGCUUAGAAGUGAGAAUGCCGGUGUGAGUAGCGAAAGACGGGUGAGAAUCCCGUCCACCGAUUGACUAAGGUUUCCAGAGGAAGGCUCGUCCGCUCUGGGUUAGUCGGGUCCUAAGCUGAGGCCGACAGGCGUAGGCGAUGGAUAACAGGUUGAUAUUCCUGUACCACCAUUAUUCGUUUUAAGCGAUGGGGGGACGCAGUAGGAUAGGCGAAGCGUGCUGUUGGAGUGCACGUCCAAGCAGUGAGAUUGAGUGUUAGGCAAAUCCGGCACUCUUAAGAUUGAGCUGUGAUGGGGAGAGGAACUUGUUCCUCGAGUCGUUGAUUUCACACUGCCGAGAAAAGCCUCUAGCUAGAAUAACGGUGCCCGUACCGCAAACCGACACAGGUAGUCAAGAUGAGAAUUCUAAGGUGAGCGAGCGAACUCUCGUUAAGGAACUCGGCAAAAUGACCCCGUAACUUCGGGAGAAGGGGUGCUCUUUGAGGUUCACGCUUCGAAGAGCCGCAGUGAAUAGGCCCAAGCGACUGUUUAUCAAAAACACAGGUCUCUGCUAAACCGUAAGGUGACGUAUAGGGGCUGACGCCUGCCCGGUGCUGGAAGGUUAAGAGGAGUGGUUAGCGCAAGCGAAGCUACGAAUCGAAGCCCCAGUAAACGGCGGCCGUAACUAUAACGGUCCUAAGGUAGCGAAAUUCCUUGUCGGGUAAGUUCCGACCCGCACGAAAGGCGUAACGAUUUGGGCACUGUCUCAACGAGAGACUCGGUGAAAUCAUAGUACCGGUGAAGAUGCCGGUUACCCGCGACAGGACGGAAAGACCCCGUGGAGCUUUACUGUAGCCUGAUAUUGAAAUUCGGUACAGUUUGUACAGGAUAGGUAGGAGCCUUAGAAGCGUGAGCGCUAGCUUACGUGGAGGCAUUGGUGGGAUACUACCCUAAUUGUAUUGGAUUUCUAACCCGCAGCACUUAUCGUGCUGGGAGACAGUGUCAGGCGGGCAGUUUGACUGGGGCGGUCGCCUC
RNAcentral lists this ribosomal RNA (1611 nucleotides) under Staphylococcus pseudintermedius. Its description in RNAcentral is "partial 23S ribosomal RNA". It matches the Rfam family "Bacterial large subunit ribosomal RNA", at positions 677 to 2289 of the family's 2925-position model. The record is from RNAcentral. Lineage: Bacteria; Bacillati; Bacillota; Bacilli; Caryophanales; Staphylococcaceae.